This 433-nucleotide unclassified non-coding RNA is filed under the name soil metagenome. RNAcentral describes it as "partial contains 5.8S ribosomal RNA, internal transcribed spacer 2, and large subunit ribosomal RNA". The stretch from base 1 to 120 matches the Rfam family "5.8S ribosomal RNA", at positions 35 to 154 of the family's 154-position model. The record is from RNAcentral.
GAUGAAGAACGUAGCGAAAUGCGAUACGUAAUGUGAAUUGCAGAAUUCAGUGAAUCAUCGAAUCUUUGAACGCAUAUUGCGCUCUCUGGUAUUCCGGAGAGCAUGCUUGUUUGAGUAUCAGUAAACACCUCAACUCCCUUUUCUUUUUUGAAAUGGGAGCUGGACUUGAGUGAUCCCAACACUUUUCUCACUGGAAAGUGGCGGGUCACUUGAAAUGCAGGUGCAGCUGGACUUUUCUCUGAGCUAUAAGCAUAUCUAUUUAGUCUGCCUAAAAAACAGAUUAUUACCUUUGCUGCAGCUAACAUAAAGGAGAUGAGUUCUUGUGCUGACUGAUGCAGGAUUCACAGAGACAGCUUCGCGGCUGACUUUGUAAACUCGAUCUCAAAUCAAGUAAGACUACCCGCUGAACUUAAGCAUAUCAAUAAGCGGAGGA